CAUGCAAGUCGAGGGGCAGCGCGGGAUAGCAAUAUCCUGGCGGCGACCGGCGGAAGGGUGCGUAACGCGUGAGCGACAUGCCCGUUGCCCGGGGACAACCGGUGGAAACGCCGACUAAUCCCCGAUGGGAUAUUGUGCCGCAUGGCACGAUAUUGAAAGUUACGGCGGCGACGGAUUGGCUCGCGUCCGAUUAGCUUGUUGGCGGGGUGACGGCCCACCAAGGCUACGAUCGGUAGGGGUUCUGAGAGGAAGGCCCCCCACAAUGGGACUGAGACACGGCCCAUACUCCUACGGGAGGCAGCAGUGAGGAAUAUUGGUCAAUGGGCGGAAGCCUGAACCAGCCAUGCCGCGUGCGGGAAGGAGGCCCUAUGGGCUGUGAACCGCUUUUGCCUGGGGGCAAUAAGGGCGUCGCGCACGCCCGAUGAGAGUACC
RNAcentral lists this ribosomal RNA (432 nucleotides) under uncultured bacterium. Its description in RNAcentral is "bacterial SSU rRNA". It matches the Rfam family "Bacterial small subunit ribosomal RNA", at positions 54 to 479 of the family's 1533-position model. The record is from RNAcentral.